UACGUAGGGUGCAAGCGUUGUCCGGAAUUAUUGGGCGUAAAGAGCUCGUAGGCGGUCUGUUGCGUCGGCUGUGAAAACCCGGGGCUCAACUCCGGGCCUGCAGCCGAUACGGGCAGACUAGAGUUCGGCAGGGGAGACUGGAAUUCCUGGUGUAGCGGUGAAAUGCGCAGAUAUCAGGAGGAACACCGAUGGCGAAGGCAGGUCUCUGGGCCACUACUGACGCUGAGAAGCGAAAGCGUGGGGAGCGAACAGG
RNAcentral lists this ribosomal RNA (253 nucleotides) under uncultured bacterium. RNAcentral's name for it is "partial 16S ribosomal RNA". It matches the Rfam family "Bacterial small subunit ribosomal RNA", at positions 524 to 776 of the family's 1533-position model. The record is from RNAcentral.